AUUAGAUACCCCUGUAGUCCUGGCCGUAAACGAUGUGGACUUGGUGUUGGGAUGGCUCCGAGCUGCCCCAGUGCCGAAGGGAAGCUGUUAAGUCCACCGCCUGGGAAGUACGGUCGCAAGACUGAAACUUAAAGGAAUUGGCGGGGAGCACCACAACAGGUGGAGCCUGCGGUUUAAUUGGAUUCAACGCCGGACAUCUCACCGGAUAAGACAGCUGAAUGAUUGUCAAUCUGAAGGUUUUACAUGACUAGCUG
RNAcentral lists this ribosomal RNA (254 nucleotides) under uncultured archaeon. RNAcentral's name for it is "partial 16S ribosomal RNA". It matches the Rfam family "Archaeal small subunit ribosomal RNA", at positions 728 to 982 of the family's 1478-position model. The record is from RNAcentral.